Molecule: long non-coding RNA, 221 nt
Filed under: Mytilus galloprovincialis (Mediterranean mussel)
Lineage: Eukaryota; Metazoa; Mollusca; Bivalvia; Mytilida; Mytilidae
Source: RNAcentral
AAAUUUGAAAAAAAACAAUAGGCAGGACAGAUGUUUUGAUUAAAAAAAGGCAGGAUGAGACACUUUGCCCAAAAAAGCCAGGAUGAAAACUUUGGUAAAAAAAAAGUCAUGAUAAAAUAAUAAAAAAGGGCAGGACUGAAUACAGUGAUUAAUAAAAAGGCAGGAAAGAGAUUAUAACUAAAAAGAAAGGCAGGACAACAUUUUUUUAUCCUCCACACCCC